This 69-nucleotide transfer RNA is filed under the name Actinomycetota bacterium. Its description in RNAcentral is "tRNA-OTHER". The record is from RNAcentral. Lineage: Bacteria; Bacillati; Actinomycetota.
GCCUGUAGCCGCUCCGGAGAACGUAUCCUCCGGAGCGGAAGGUCGCACGUUCGAAUCGUGCCGGGCGCA